AGGGCGGGGUGACGCGACGGGUGCUGCCAGUCUGGAGUGGUCCUAGGAGACGCGACACGCGAUGGGUGUAAAGUGUGGGUGUGGCGUUGUUUGAGCAGCAGCGGCAGCAGCGGUCCAGAGUGAGAGCGGUGGGAGGAGCGGAGCGGAGCGGAGAGUGGGUGGUCCGGUGGUGAGAGAAAGAGGGAGGGAGAGACAGACAGAGUAGACGGAGACCGGAAAGGUCCUUUGCGUACACUGGGCGACGCCGGACUCCGCUUAAGAGAGGACCACAGGCACAGGCAAACUACGAGUUCCUCCUGUCCACCCCUCCCUGCCUCCCCUAGUACCUGAAGUCCUCGUCGUUGCCGCCCAGCAGGAGCCUCGCGUCCGGCCGCCUGCCCCGCGGCGACUGCUCCGUCCCCAGGUAGAUGAGGGAGUGCAAGCUCCUCAAGGUCUCGUGCGAGCCGCCCCCGCGGCCGCACCCUCCGUCGCUGGAGCCCUUCCUGAAGUCGAGGUACUUGUACCUGCUCGACGAGGCCUCGUAGACCUGGCGGCUCCUCUCGGUCCGGUACCGACGGAGGCGGAGCCCGCGCCCGCGCCCGCGGCCGGGCGGCGGGUGCAGCGACGUCCCGGUCCCGAGCGAGUGCGACGGGGCGUGGGAGUCGCGGUUCUGCCAGCUGCUCCACACCGCGUUGGAGCACGCGCUACUGGGCGAAGGCCACCCCGGCCUCCCACGGCUCGGCGUCGGGGUAGCCGUCCGCUGCGAGCCCCUCUACUGGGACCUCCUCAAGGACCAGUUUCGGCCGCACCACGCUCUCUAGGGGUGGCGAGGACGUCACGGCGGGGGCGGGUACGUCGGCGCCGGCCAGGGACAACAGGGAUUUCCGGGAAGGAAGAUGCCCUUGAAGGGCUCGCGGUUGCUGCGGCCACGCCGCCGCGACCCCAAGCGCGGCCAGCGGUACCCCCUAGACCGGUACCCGUUACCCGAGUACGGCUCCCGUCAACCAUACCCUCCGCGGGGAGACCAACACGUUUGACGCCAGUUGGGCCAACUAAGACCGUCGUUCCCCUCGCUCCUAGACAGUAGCGGCAGGCUUGGUUACGGCAUGAGCAAGCUCCCCUAACACUCCCCCUCCUCCUGACCGCCGCCGCACCUCUUCCACCACCUCUCCUCCGUCUCCUCCUACUAGUUCUUGUCCCUCAGGCGGCGAUCCAGGGCGCGGGCGUUCGUCCGAAUAUGUUACCUCAACCUUCGACUUCAAGUCUUCGAGUUCCUGGACUUGGUCCUUGACCACUCCUUUGUCCGUCUCUAUGACCUUUACGUCUUUUCUCUCGUCCGGGGACUCUACUUCCUAGUCAAGCCUGCCUUCUUCGCCGUCACGAACGCUUCUUGCAACUGGCCGGGGACCACUCCUAGCUCCUCAGUUAACCGUAGCCGUAAGGUGGCCAGCUGGACGAAACAUGUAUAUUAAGCGAGAUAACAUUUGGCUACUACCUGGUCUGGACACGAACCAACUGGACGAUCGAAGGAAAGAGCACGACGAAGUCUCUGGCGACUGGACAUCCGAUCACACAUCAGCUCCUCCCCUCGGCAUUCUUGGCGACAUUAGACCGUCAGGAAGUCUUAGAUCACACAUCUCGAACAGACCCAAACGUAUUGUAGUCAGAAGAAGAAGAAGAAGAAAAAGAUUGAAACGCGGCAUCUUCUGAUCGAUCUAUUCAACCCAAACUCAAAGUCUCCAGCUACAUUCAUUCGGUACCCUAGGCUCUUCGUAGGAUGUGGGCCGAAGUACAAACCGAUCAGUUGGCUUCAAACAUAUAGGACAACCGACAUCAAAAUUCUGAACGAAAUACGAAAGUCGCCCUAUAUCCGUCUGAACAGUGUAAAACUUACACAACGAAUAUAGACGAGGACAAUUAGCGGAC
Molecule: ribosomal RNA, 1905 nt
Filed under: Triticum aestivum (bread wheat)
Lineage: Eukaryota; Viridiplantae; Streptophyta; Magnoliopsida; Poales; Poaceae
Description: partial small subunit ribosomal RNA
Source: RNAcentral